GCGACUGAACUGAGCUGAUUUAUCAUGGGUUGGAGUGUAAGAUCCUUGAGAGCAGAAAAAGUACUGACACAAAUUUGUAACUUCUGUGAAACACCCAGAAGAGUGACUGACACAAAAUAAGAGUAUUUCUGAUCCUACUGUUCCUGAUGCUGUUUGGUGUUUGCUCCUCAUUUUGCUGGAU
This is a non-coding RNA of Odocoileus virginianus texanus, 181 nucleotides long. The record is from RefSeq and is a predicted model, not a curated record. NCBI's taxonomy places the organism in Eukaryota, Metazoa, Chordata, Mammalia, Artiodactyla, Cervidae.